Molecule: ribosomal RNA, 253 nt
Filed under: uncultured bacterium
Lineage: Bacteria
Description: partial 16S ribosomal RNA
Rfam family: Bacterial small subunit ribosomal RNA
Source: RNAcentral
UACGUAGGUGACAAGCGUUGUCCGGAUUUAUUGGGCGUAAAGAGCGUGUAGGCGGCUUUACAGGUCCGUUGUGAAAACUCGAGGCUCAACCUCGAGACGCCGGUGGAAACCGUAAAGCUAGAGUCCGGAAGAGGAGAGUGGAAUUCCUGGUGUAGCGGUGAAAUGCGCAGAUAUCAGGAAGAACACCCGUGGCGAAGGCGGCUCUCUGGGACGGUACUGACGCUGAGACGCGAAAGCGUGGGGAGCGAACAGG